AUUCAUGGUGGUCGUGCGUGGGAGACCUUCGGGUCUGCCGGGUGCCAACUUGCCCGGUCCGCGAACCCGCGCACGGCUGCCACCCAC
RNAcentral lists this non-coding RNA (87 nucleotides) under Pseudomonas sp. StFLB209. The record is from RNAcentral. Lineage: Bacteria; Pseudomonadati; Pseudomonadota; Gammaproteobacteria; Pseudomonadales; Pseudomonadaceae.